AUUGAACGCUGGCGGCAUGCCUUACACAUGCAAGUCGAACGGCAGCACGGGGGCUUGCACCUGGUGGCGAGUGGCGAACGGGUGAGUAAUACAUCGGAACAUGUCCUGUAGUGGGGGAUAGCCCGGCGAAAGCCGGGUUAAUACCGCAUAAGAUCUACGGGUGAAAGCGGGGGACCUUCGGGCCUCGCGCCAUAGGGUUGGCCGAUGGCUGAUUAGCUAGUUGGUGGGGUAAAGGCCUACCAAGGCGACGAUCAGUAGCUGGUCUGAGAGGACGACCAGCCACACUGGGACUGAGACACGGCCCAGACUCCUACGGGAGGCAGCAGUGGGGAAUUUUGGACAAUGGGCGAAAGCCUGAUCCAGCAAUGCCGCGUGUGUGAAGAAGGCCUUCGGGUUGUAAAGCACUUUUGUCCGGAAAGAAAUCCUUGGCCCUAAUACGGUCGGGGGAUGACGGUACCGGAAGAAUAAGCACCGGCUAACUACGUG
This 486-nucleotide ribosomal RNA is filed under the name uncultured bacterium. RNAcentral describes it as "partial 16S ribosomal RNA". It matches the Rfam family "Bacterial small subunit ribosomal RNA", at positions 29 to 507 of the family's 1533-position model. The record is from RNAcentral.